This 721-nucleotide ribosomal RNA is filed under the name Salmonella enterica. RNAcentral describes it as "partial 23S ribosomal RNA". It matches the Rfam family "Bacterial large subunit ribosomal RNA", at positions 2082 to 2802 of the family's 2925-position model. RNAcentral also lists the same sequence under 2 other names. The record is from RNAcentral. Lineage: Bacteria; Pseudomonadati; Pseudomonadota; Gammaproteobacteria; Enterobacterales; Enterobacteriaceae.
GGAAAGACCCCGUGAACCUUUACUAUAGCUUGACACUGAACAUUGAGCCUUGAUGUGUAGGAUAGGUGGGAGGCUUUGAAGUGUGGACGCCAGUCUGCAUGGAGCCGACCUUGAAAUACCACCCUUUAAUGUUUGAUGUUCUAACGUGGACCCGUAAUCCGGGUUGCGGACAGUGUCUGGUGGGUAGUUUGACUGGGGCGGUCUCCUCCUAAAGAGUAACGGAGGAGCACGAAGGUUGGCUAAUCCUGGUCGGACAUCAGGAGGUUAGUGCAAUGGCAUAAGCCAGCUUGACUGCGAGCGUGACGGCGCGAGCAGGUGCGAAAGCAGGUCAUAGUGAUCCGGUGGUUCUGAAUGGAAGGGCCAUCGCUCAACGGAUAAAAGGUACUCCGGGGAUAACAGGCUGAUACCGCCCAAGAGUUCAUAUCGACGGCGGUGUUUGGCACCUCGAUGUCGGCUCAUCACAUCCUGGGGCUGAAGUAGGUCCCAAGGGUAUGGCUGUUCGCCAUUUAAAGUGGUACGCGAGCUGGGUUUAGAACGUCGUGAGACAGUUCGGUCCCUAUCUGCCGUGGGCGCUGGAGAACUGAGGGGGGCUGCUCCUAGUACGAGAGGACCGGAGUGGACGCAUCACUGGUGUUCGGGUUGUCAUGCCAAUGGCACUGCCCGGUAGCUAAAUGCGGAAGAGAUAAGUGCUGAAAGCAUCUAAGCACGAAACUUGCCCCGA